UACGUACUGCCUCCGUCCAACAAAAAAUGUCUUAAGUUUGUCAAAAUUUGGAUGUAUCUAGCCAUGACUUCAUGUAUAGAUGCAUUCAAAUUUAAUCAAAAUUGAGACAUCUUUUAUUGGACAGAUGAAGUACUUA
Non-coding RNA from Brachypodium distachyon (stiff brome), 136 nucleotides. The record is from Rfam. NCBI's taxonomy places the organism in Eukaryota, Viridiplantae, Streptophyta, Magnoliopsida, Poales, Poaceae.